UUGAGAGUGAGGGGUGGUCGUCACAUCCCGGACGAGCCCCCAAAUGUUAGGUCCUGAGUGCGAACGCCACCCCGCAUUCACUCACAAGAGACGGUUCUUGAUGCAAACAGCAAGA
MicroRNA precursor from Procavia capensis (Cape rock hyrax), 115 nucleotides. Lineage: Eukaryota; Metazoa; Chordata; Mammalia; Hyracoidea; Procaviidae. The record is from Ensembl.